RNAcentral lists this ribosomal RNA (227 nucleotides) under uncultured bacterium. RNAcentral's name for it is "partial 16S ribosomal RNA". It matches the Rfam family "Bacterial small subunit ribosomal RNA", at positions 107 to 334 of the family's 1533-position model. The record is from RNAcentral.
UGAGUAACACGUAUCCAACCUGCCGUCUACUCUUGGACAGCCUUCUGAAAGGAAGAUUAAUACAAGAUAGCAUCAUGAGUUCACAUGUUCACAUGAUUAAAGGUAUUCCGGUAGACGAUGGGGAUGCGUUCCAUUAGAUAGUAGGCGGGGUAACGGCCCACCUAGUCUUCGAUGGAUAGGGGUUCUGAGAGGAAGGUCCCCCACAUUGGAACUGAGACACGGUCCAA